CGAGGGGUGCAAGCGUUGCUCGGAAUUAUUGGGCGUAAAGGGAAGGUAGGUGGUCUCAUUUGUCUGGGGUGAAAGCCUUGGGCUUAACUCAAGAAGUGCCCCAGAAACGGUGAGACUGGAGUCCUGGAGAGGGUCGUGGAAUUCCCGGUGUAGCGGUGAAAUGCGUAGAGAUCGGGAGGAACACCUGAGGCGAAGGCGGCGACCUGGACAGGUACUGACACUCAACUUCGAAAGCGUGGGGAGCAAACAGGAUUAGAUACCCUGGUAGUCCACGCUGUAAACGAUGGGUACUAGGUUUGGUGGGUCUUGACCCCCGCUGAACCGGCGCUAACGCACUAAGUACCCCGCCUGGGAAGUACGGUCGCAAGACUA
RNAcentral lists this ribosomal RNA (372 nucleotides) under uncultured organism. RNAcentral describes it as "bacterial SSU rRNA". It matches the Rfam family "Bacterial small subunit ribosomal RNA", at positions 526 to 896 of the family's 1533-position model. The record is from RNAcentral.